AUGGUGCUCCUGCACCCGAUGGCUGCGGGGUGGACGCGCGCUAUGGGUAUACUCCGGCGACGCGGAACACACUUCCUCUACUCUUCCUUGCGGGGGUGGGGGUGGGGGAUGAAGAUCAAGGAGGAUGAUAAGCAGAAGAAGAAGCCGGCCAGGACGUGCGUCCAGAUCGAGGAGAUCCCCGAGGACAACACCGCCGGCUGCGACGCCAUCCGCAAGGCCUUUGCUAUGGGGAACGGCAAGGGGAAGGCCAAGGAGUUGUCGCCGCAGGAUGCCGCGCUGCUCAUCCAGAUGAACUACAGGCCGCACCUCGCCCACCGCUCCCAGGUGCUCCGCUGCCUGCGUGAUCUCGCCGUCGCCAAGGCCAAGCUCAAGGAGCUCAGGUCCCUCUUCUACAACCUCUCCUACAGGCGCCGCCUCUCGCAUGACCACGAGGAGUGCCAGAGGUUCUCCGAGAAGAUCAUUGUCCUGCUGCUCACUGUCGAUGCGCUCGAGUUACUCAUUAAUUCCUGCAGAAAUAUGCUCGGAAGAACAAGGUUUCGGAACCAGAUUCAUAUUUGCAGGAUAAUAAGGUGUUGUUGCAUAAGUCGAAUGGACCAACUAGCAGGCGCCGUGUUUCCUGAAGUGUUGUGA
Molecule: ribosomal RNA, 630 nt
Filed under: Triticum aestivum (bread wheat)
Lineage: Eukaryota; Viridiplantae; Streptophyta; Magnoliopsida; Poales; Poaceae
Description: partial small subunit ribosomal RNA
Source: RNAcentral